RNAcentral lists this ribosomal RNA (161 nucleotides) under Aegopodium latifolium. Its description in RNAcentral is "5.8S ribosomal RNA". It matches the Rfam family "5.8S ribosomal RNA". Rfam says of the family: 5.8S ribosomal RNA (5.8S rRNA) is a component of the large subunit of the eukaryotic ribosome. It is transcribed by RNA polymerase I as part of the 45S precursor that also contains 18S and 28S rRNA. Lineage: Eukaryota; Viridiplantae; Streptophyta; Magnoliopsida; Apiales; Apiaceae. The record is from RNAcentral.
ACGACUCUCGACAACGGAUAUCUCGGCUCUCGCAUCGAUGAAGAACGUAGCGAAAUGCGAUACUUGGUGUGAAUUGCAGAAUCCCGUGAACCAUCGAGUCUUUGAACGCAAGUUGCGCCCGAAGCCACUAGGCUGAGGGCACGUCUGCCUGGGUGUCAUGU